UACGGGAGGCAGCAGUAGGGAAUCUUCCGCAAUGGACGAAAGUCUGACGGAGCAACGCCGCGUGAGUGAUGAAGGUUUUCGGAUCGUAAAGCUCUGUUGUUAGGGAAGAACAAGUGCAAGAGUAACUGCUUGCACCUUGACGGUACCUAACCAGAAAGCCACGGCUAACUACGUGCCAGCAGCCGCGGUAAUACGUAGGUGGCAAGCGUUGUCCGGAAUUAUUGGGCGUAAAGGGCUCGCAGGCGGUUUCUUAAGUCUGAUGUGAAAGCCCCCGGCUCAACCCGGGGAGGGUCAUUGGAAACUGGGAAACUUGAGUGCAGAAGAGGAGAGUGGAAUUUCCACGUGUAGCGGUGAAAUGCGUAGAGAUGUGGAGGAACACCAGUGGCGAAGGCGACUCUCUGGUCUGUAACUGACGCUGAGGAGCGAAAGCGUGGGGAGCGAACAGGAUUAGAUACCCUGGUAGUCCACGCCGUAAACGAUGAGUGCUAAGUGUUAGGGGGUUUCCGCCCCUUAGUGCUGCAGCUAACGCAUUAAGCACUCCGCCUGGGGAGUACGGUCGCAAGACUGAAACUCAAAGGAAUUGACGGGGGCCCGCACAAGCGGUGGAGCAUGUGGUUUAAUUCGAAGCAACGCGAAGAACCUUACCAGGUCUUGACAUCCUCUGACAACCCUAGAGAUAGGGCUUUCCCUUCGGGGACAGAGUGACAGGUGGUGCAUGGUUGUCGUCAGCUCGUGUCGUGAGAUGUUGGGUUAAGUCCCGCAACGAGCGCAACCCUUGAUCUUAGUUGCCAGCAUUCAGUUGGGCACUCUAAGGUGACUGCCGGUGACAAACCGGAGGAAGGUGGGGAUGACGUCAAAUCAUCAUGCCCCUUAUGACCUGGGCUACACACGUGCUACAAUGGACAGAACAAAGGGCUGCGAGACCGCAAGGUUUAGCCAAUCCCACAAAUCUGUUCUCAGUUCGGAUCGCAGUCUGCAACUCGACUGCGUGAAGCUGGAAUCGCUAGUAAUCGCGGAUCAGCAUGCCGCGGUGAAUACGUUCCCGGGCCUUGUACACACCGCCCGUCACACCACGAGAGUUUGCAACACCCGAAGUCGGUGAGGUAACCUUUAU
RNAcentral lists this ribosomal RNA (1114 nucleotides) under Bacillus stratosphericus. RNAcentral's name for it is "bacterial SSU rRNA". It matches the Rfam family "Bacterial small subunit ribosomal RNA", at positions 340 to 1444 of the family's 1533-position model. Lineage: Bacteria; Bacillati; Bacillota; Bacilli; Caryophanales; Bacillaceae. The record is from RNAcentral.